Molecule: non-coding RNA, 148 nt
Filed under: Chlorocebus sabaeus (green monkey)
Lineage: Eukaryota; Metazoa; Chordata; Mammalia; Primates; Cercopithecidae
Source: Rfam by way of RNAcentral
GCCAGGUGUGGUGGCACACACCUGUAGUCCCAGCUACUCAGGAGGCUGAGGCAGGAGAAUUGCUUGAACCCAGGAGGCAGAGGUUGCAGUGAGCUGAGAUCGCGCCACUGCACUCCAGCCUGGGUGACAAAGUGAGACUCUGUCUCAA